CGAAAUGACGUCAUAUCAGUUUGUUCUACGAUUUCGUUUGAAGUAUAUCGGGACCUUUAUACUCUUGGUUAUGCAUGAUAUUAUGCAAACAUUAAGUUAAAGGGGGGGGGGAAAAGGCUGAAACUAGUUUCCAGGAACCUGCCACGUGAAUCUCAGACAGUCCUCCUCCUCAUUUUAAAAACGCCCCGCACGCGUGUCUGCGUUCACUCGCGCGCUCUCAUCAUCAGCGGUCAUCAAUACUAUCAGCGAUGGUUGUGCUCUCUUCCAUGUGCAUUUACUGAUACUCUCAUCACUCAUGAAUAUUUCUGAGAGCAGUGUGCUCGGCACCGUGCUGCCUCUUACUAGUUUCGAGAACGUGCUCGUGUUUCUCUUUAAUAUAAUUCUCGCCACCGCCAUCAUUUUUAUUAACGUCUCCGUGUUUAUCGCCAUCGUGAUGAACAGAUCACUGCGGAACGAGAACCGCUUCAUGUACAUGCUCAGCACGUGUCUCAGUGACAUCUGCACGGGCGUCUCGUAUUAUUAUGCUGGAGUUAUGGAUGUACGCGAUGAUUUUGAUUCGCCGACUCGCACUCUCUACAUCGUUCCCACUUUUCUGGGACUGUCCUAUAUGGCGAUUCUGGCCGCGCAAGCGGACCGCUACCACGCGGUCUCAGCGCCUUUCAAAUACUCGCAGCGCAUGACUCGAAACAGAACCCUGCUGGUGAUUCUGGCCUACUGGGUUUAUGCUUUUAUUUUAGUGGCUGUUUAUAAUUUGGUGACUACGGGGGUCGCUAAGGCUGUGACGGGCUUGGGUACUUUUGUGGCAAACAUUUUUAGUGUCAUUAUAAUGAUUGGCUUGAAUUUAAGGCUGUUUGUCAUCGCCAAAUUUCAGCUAGAACGCGAACCCCCGAGCGAGGAACGCGACAACAAGCGCGCGUCCAUUUAUCUCAUCAUAAUAGUAGCUGUGUGUUUUCUGAUUGCAUGGCUGCCGUGGUUUCUUCUUACGACUGUGUGUACAUUUAGAGGAGGUUCGUGUUAUCCGUUUAGAAAUGACGGCACAGACCCCCUGCGCAUUCUGGCGCGCGUCAAUGCGCUUAUCACUCCUUUACUGUACAUCAGAGGCUGUACUCCACUCAGGAGCACCAUAAUGAUUAAAGUCUGGAGAAUACCAUGCUGCAAGAGUAAAAGAUUGCAAGCUGUUACAAAAUCCAGAUCUACCAACAGGAGACAUACACUAUAGCAGGCCUUUGUUUGUAAAAGGCCCAAAAUCCUUUUUUUUUUUCAUCCAUCCAUCUUCCAAUCUGUUUUAUCUUCUUAAGGUUCAUGAAGGGCUGGAGCCCUGAACACACACAGACAUGCACACAAAUUCACACGCAAUUUUACAGUAUCCAAUUCACCUGUGCUGCAUGUCUUUGGAUUGUGGGGGAACCCGUGCAGACAAACAGAAAGGCAUCUCACUGCGACACCCAAGUGAAGCCACAGAAUAUGGAG
Cyprinus carpio carpio is the source of this 1470-nucleotide long non-coding RNA. The record is from Ensembl. Lineage: Eukaryota; Metazoa; Chordata; Actinopteri; Cypriniformes; Cyprinidae.